RNAcentral lists this non-coding RNA (32 nucleotides) under Prorocentrum micans. Lineage: Eukaryota; Dinophyceae; Prorocentrales; Prorocentraceae. RNAcentral also lists the same sequence under 3 other names. The record is from RNAcentral.
AAAAAAAAAAAAAAAAAAAAAAAAAAAAAAAA